GAUGAACGCUGGCGGCGUGCCUAAUACAUGCAAGUCGAGCGAACGGACGAGAAGCUUGCUUUUCUGAUGUUAGCGGCGGACGGGUGAGUAAAACGUGGAUAACCUACCUAUAAGACUGGGAUAACUUCGGGAAACCGGAGCUAAUACCGGAUAAUAUUUUGAACCGCAUGGUUCAAAAGUGAAAGACGGUCUUGCUGUCACUUAUAGAUGGAUCCGCGCUGCAUUAGCUAGUUGGUAAGGUAACGGCUUAACAAGGCAACGAUGCAUAGCCGACCUGAGAGGGUGAUCGGCCACACUUGAACUGAGACACGGUCCAGACUCCUACGGGAGGCAGCAGUAGGGAAUCUUCCGCAAUGGGCGAAAGCCUGACGGAGCCACGCCGCGUGAGUGAUGAAGGUCUUCGGAUCGUAAAACUCUGUUAUUAGGGAAGAACAUAUGUGUAAGUAACUGUGCACAUCUUGACGGUACCUAAUCAGAAAGCCACGGCUAACUACGU
Molecule: ribosomal RNA, 496 nt
Filed under: uncultured bacterium
Lineage: Bacteria
Description: partial 16S ribosomal RNA
Rfam family: Bacterial small subunit ribosomal RNA
Source: RNAcentral